GAUGAACGCUGGCGGCGUGCCUAAUACAUGCCAGUAGAACGCUGAAGGAGGAGCUUGCUCUUCUGGAUGAGUUGCGAGCGGGUGAGUAACGCGUAGGUAACCUGCCUGGUAGCGGGGGAUAACUAUUGGAAACGAUAGCUAAUACCGCAUGACAACUGUUAUUGCAUGAUAACUGUUUAAAAGGGGCAACUGCUCCACUACCAGAUGGACCUGCGUUGUAUUAGCUAGUUGGUGAGGUAACGGCUCACCAAGGCGACGAUACAUAGCCGACCUGAGAGGGUGAUCGGCCACACUGGGACUGAGACACGGCCCAGACUCCUACGGGAGGCAGCAGUAGGGAAUCUUCGGCAAUGGACGGAAGUCUGACCGAGCAACGCCGCGUGAGUGAAGAAGGUUUUCGGAUCGUAAAGCUCUGUUGUAAGAGAAGAACGAGUGUGAGAGUGGAAAGUUCACACUGUGACGGUAUCUUACCAGAAAGGGACGGCUAACUACGUG
Molecule: ribosomal RNA, 495 nt
Filed under: uncultured bacterium
Lineage: Bacteria
Description: partial 16S ribosomal RNA
Rfam family: Bacterial small subunit ribosomal RNA
Source: RNAcentral